AGCGAAUGGAUUGAGAGCUUGCUCUCAAGAAGUUAGCGGCGGACGGGUGAGUAACACGUGGGUAACCUGCCCAUAAGACUGGGAUAACUCCGGGAAACCGGGGCUAAUACCGGAUAAUAUUUUGAACUGCAUGGUUCGAAAUUGAAAGGCGGCUUCGGCUGUCACUUAUGGAUGGACCCGCGUCGCAUUAGCUAGUUGGUGAGGUAACGGCUCACCAAGGCAACGAUGCGUAGCCGACCUGAGAGGGUGAUCGGCCACACUGGGACUGAGACACGGCCCAGACUCCUACGGGAGGCAGCAGUAGGGAAUCUUCCGCAAUGGACGAAAGUCUGACGGAGCAACGCCGCGUGAGUGAUGAAGGCUUUCGGGUCGUAAAACUCUGUUGUUAGGGAAGAACAAGUGCUAGUUGAAUAAGCUGGCACCUUGACGGUACCUAACCAGAAAGCCACGGCUAACUACGUGCCAGCAGCCGCGGUAAUACGUAGGUGGCAAGCGUUAUCCGGAAUUAUUGGGCGUAAAGCGCGCGCAGGUGGUUUCUUAAGUCUGAUGUGAAAGCCCACGGCUCAACCGUGGAGGGUCAUUGGAAACUGGGAGACUUGAGUGCAGAAGAGGAAAGUGGAAUUCCAUGUG
This 630-nucleotide ribosomal RNA is filed under the name Bacillus mobilis. Its description in RNAcentral is "bacterial SSU rRNA". It matches the Rfam family "Bacterial small subunit ribosomal RNA", at positions 65 to 675 of the family's 1533-position model. Lineage: Bacteria; Bacillati; Bacillota; Bacilli; Caryophanales; Bacillaceae. The record is from RNAcentral.